This 253-nucleotide ribosomal RNA is filed under the name uncultured bacterium. RNAcentral describes it as "partial 16S ribosomal RNA". It matches the Rfam family "Bacterial small subunit ribosomal RNA", at positions 524 to 776 of the family's 1533-position model. The record is from RNAcentral.
UACGUAGGGUGCGAGCGUUGUCCGGAAUUACUGGGCGUAAAGGGCGCGUAGGCGGCCGCCUAAGUCAGACGUGAAAUCCCUCGGCUCAACCGGGGAACUGCGUCCGAUACUGGUUGGCUUGAAUCCGGGAGAGGGAUGUGGAAUUCCAGGUGUAGCGGUGAAAUGCGUAGAUAUCUGGAGGAACACCGGUGGCGAAGGCGGCAUCCUGGACCGGCAUUGACGCUGAGGCGCGAAAGCCAGGGGAGCAAACGGG